RNAcentral lists this ribosomal RNA (544 nucleotides) under uncultured Glomeromycotina. RNAcentral's name for it is "SSU rRNA". It matches the Rfam family "Eukaryotic small subunit ribosomal RNA", at positions 548 to 1098 of the family's 1831-position model. The record is from RNAcentral. Lineage: Eukaryota; Fungi; Glomeromycota.
UUGGAGGGCAAGUCUGGUGCCAGCAGCCGCGGUAAUUCCAGCUCCAAUAGCGUAUAUUAAAGUUGUUGCAGUUAAAAAGCUCGUAGUUGAAUUUCGGGGUUCUACCGUUGGUCGGGCUUUGUCUGUACUGGUGUGUAGAAUUUCUACCUUCUGGGGAACCAUCAUGCUAUUAAUUUAGCGUGGUGGGAAACCAGGACCUUUACCUUGAAAAAAUUAGUGUGUUCAAAGCAGGCUUAUGUCUGAAUACAUUAGCGUGGAAUAAUAGAAUAGGACGGUGGUCCUGUUUUGUUGGUUUCUGAAUCACCGUAAUGAUUAAUAGGGAUAGUUGGGGGCAUUAGUAUUCAAUUGUCAGAGGUGAAAUUCUUGGAUUUAUUGAAGAUUAUCUUCUGCGAAAGCAUUUGCCAAGGAUGUUUUCAUUAAUCAAGAACGAAAGUUAGGGGAUCGAAGACGAUCAGAUACCGUCGUAGUCUUAACCAUAAACUAUGCCGACUAGGGAUCGGACGAUGUUAAUUUUUCUUGACUCGUUCGGCGCCUUACGGGAAAC